Molecule: ribosomal RNA, 810 nt
Filed under: Pseudomonas sp. RODXS2
Lineage: Bacteria; Pseudomonadati; Pseudomonadota; Gammaproteobacteria; Pseudomonadales; Pseudomonadaceae
Description: bacterial SSU rRNA
Rfam family: Bacterial small subunit ribosomal RNA
Source: RNAcentral
CCUGCAGUCGAGCGGUAGAGAGAAGCUUGCUUCUCUUGAGAGCGGCGGACGGGUGAGUAAUGCCUAGGAAUCUGCCUGGUAGUGGGGGAUAACGUUCGGAAACGGACGCUAAUACCGCAUACGUCCUACGGGAGAAAGCAGGGGACCUUCGGGCCUUGCGCUAUCAGAUGAGCCUAGGUCGGAUUAGCUAGUUGGUGAGGUAAUGGCUCACCAAGGCGACGAUCCGUAACUGGUCUGAGAGGAUGAUCAGUCACACUGGAACUGAGACACGGUCCAGACUCCUACGGGAGGCAGCAGUGGGGAAUAUUGGACAAUGGGCGAAAGCCUGAUCCAGCCAUGCCGCGUGUGUGAAGAAGGUCUUCGGAUUGUAAAGCACUUUAAGUUGGGAGGAAGGGUUGUAGAUUAAUACUCUGCAAUUUUGACGUUACCGACAGAAUAAGCACCGGCUAACUCUGUGCCAGCAGCCGCGGUAAUACAGAGGGUGCAAGCGUUAAUCGGAAUUACUGGGCGUAAAGCGCGCGUAGGUGGUUUGUUAAGUUGGAUGUGAAAUCCCCGGGCUCAACCUGGGAACUGCAUUCAAAACUGACUGACUAGAGUAUGGUAGAGGGUGGUGGAAUUUCCUGUGUAGCGGUGAAAUGCGUAGAUAUAGGAAGGAACACCAGUGGCGAAGGCGACCACCUGGACUAAUACUGACACUGAGGUGCGAAAGCGUGGGGAGCAAACAGGAUUAGAUACCCUGGUAGUCCACGCCGUANACGAUGUCAACUAGCCGUUGGAAGCCUUGAGCUUUUAGUGGCGCAGCUAACGCAU